This 236-nucleotide unclassified non-coding RNA is filed under the name Mortierella sp. RNAcentral describes it as "partial contains small subunit ribosomal RNA, internal transcribed spacer 1, and 5.8S ribosomal RNA". The stretch from base 1 to 46 matches the Rfam family "Eukaryotic small subunit ribosomal RNA", at positions 1786 to 1831 of the family's 1831-position model. The record is from RNAcentral. Lineage: Eukaryota; Fungi; Mortierellomycota; Mortierellomycetes; Mortierellales; Mortierellaceae.
AAGUCGUAACAAGGUUUCCGUAGGUGAACCUGCGGAAGGAUCAUUCAUAACGAGUGUUUAUGGCACUCUAAAAAUCCAUACCCACCUUGUGUGCAGCGUUAAGAGUCUUUUGUCUCUCUCUUUGAGGGCACGAGAUUUCUUUUAAUUAAUCUAUCUUAAACCAGUUUGUCUGAAGCAAUGUAUCAUGAAUAACAUAAUUCAAAAUACAACUUUCAACAACGGAUCUCUUGGUUCUG